CGACUUGCUCGCCUGUUUUACAAAAACAUGGUUUUUUGUUUAUAUAAAAAAUCUGACCUGCCCCAUGACAAAAUUAAAUGGCUGCAGUAUUUUGACUGUACAAAGGUAGCAUAAUCAUUUGUCUCUUAAUUGGAGACUGGUAUGAAUGGUUGGAUGAGAAAUUAGCUUUCUUAUUUUUAUAUAAAAAAAUUAAUUUUUGUGUGAAAAAGCAUAAAUGUUUUUGGGGGACGAGAAGACCCUAUAGAAUUUUAUUAAUUAUAUAUUCUCUCUAAUUUGGACUAAUUUUUGGGAGGAAUAUAUAAUUAAUUAUGUUGGGGUGACAUAAAAAAUAUAAUAACUUUUUUUAACAUUAAUCAUUUAUUUAUGAUUGGUGACCCUUUAUUAUGGGUUAUAAGAUCAAAUUACCUUAGGGAUAACAGCGUUAUUUUUUUGGAGAGCACUUAUCGAUAAAAAAGUUUGCGACCUCGAUGUUGGAUUAAAAUAAGGAGCAGGAGUAGAAUAUUGCUUGUCUAGGUCUGUUCGACCUAUAAAUUUUUACAUGAU
RNAcentral lists this ribosomal RNA (543 nucleotides) under Mystilus sp. 1 JK-2017. RNAcentral's name for it is "partial small subunit ribosomal RNA". It matches the Rfam family "Bacterial large subunit ribosomal RNA", at positions 1783 to 2604 of the family's 2925-position model. The record is from RNAcentral. Lineage: Eukaryota; Metazoa; Arthropoda; Insecta; Hemiptera; Miridae.